UUACAGCUGAUGACUGUUAAAAACUCGUUUGUGUUUGAAGCCAAUGUUGAUUAGUGUUUCUGUGGAUUUAUGCUGCAGGUUGCUUGUGGUGGAUGUCACAUGGUAGUUUUUGCUGCUCCUCAUCGUAGUGUGGCAAAAGAAAUUGAAUUCGAUGAAAUAAGUGAUACUUGCUUAUCUGUGGUGACUUUUCUGCCGUAUGGCAGUUUAACCUCAGGAAAUGUACUGCAGAGAACUCUAUCAGCACGUAUGCGGCGAAGAGAGGGAGAGACGGGGUUUCACCAUGCUGGCAAGGCUGGUCUCGAACUCCUGAUUUCAAGUGAUCCAGCAGCCUCGGUCUCCUAG
RNAcentral lists this long non-coding RNA (342 nucleotides) under Rhinopithecus bieti (black snub-nosed monkey). RNAcentral's name for it is "lncRNA (ENSRBIG00000046415.1)". Lineage: Eukaryota; Metazoa; Chordata; Mammalia; Primates; Cercopithecidae. The record is from RNAcentral.